CCCUACGGGGUGCAGCAGGCGCGAAACCUCCGCAAUGUGAGAAAUCGCGACGGGGGGAUCCCAAGUGCCAUUCUUAACGGGAUGGCUUUUCAUUAGUGUAAAGAGCUUUUGGAAUAAGAGCUGGGCAAGACCGGUGCCAGCCGCCGCGGUAACACCGGCAGCUCUAGUGGUAGCAGUUUUUAUUGGGCCUAAAGCGUCCGUAGCCGGUUUAAUAAGUCUCUGGUGAAAUCCUGCAGCUUAACUGUGGGAAUUGCUGGAGAUACUAUUAGACUUGAGAUCGGGAGAGGUUAGAGGUACUCCCUGGGUAGAGGUGAAAUUCUGUAAUCCUGGGAGGACCGCCUGUUGCGAAGGCGUCUGACUGGAACGAUUCUGACGGUGAGGGAUGAAAGCCAGGGGCGCGAACCGGACCAGAUACCCGGGUAGUCCUAGCUGUAAACGAUGCGGACUUGGUGUUGGGGUGGCUUUGAGCUGUCCCAGUGCCGAAGGGAAGCUGUUAAGUCCGCCGCCUGGGAAGUACGGUCGCAAGAAUGAAAGAUAAAGGAAUUGGCGGGGGAGCACCUACAACGCGUGGAGCGUGCGGUUUAAUCGGAGUCAACGCCGG
This 601-nucleotide ribosomal RNA is filed under the name uncultured archaeon. RNAcentral describes it as "bacterial SSU rRNA". It matches the Rfam family "Archaeal small subunit ribosomal RNA", at positions 321 to 921 of the family's 1478-position model. The record is from RNAcentral.